AGGCAUAAGAAUGGUUUACGCAAUGAUUCCAGAGCUAUUUGAACGGACGGAUGGAGGGAAGCAGUUGGUGCAGAUCUUCCGGCAAUAGAUAAGUCAUAUAUACAGAGGCAUUGUUUCCCCCCGCAGUCGUCCGUACGGGGAUAUCGGCGCCCCAACGCCAUGAGGCUGGGUAUGAAUAUGACACUGAUAAGCCUUCUUUAGCAUCUGAUGGGCGGAUAGGAGGGGCGGAGGUUAGCUGUGGGCAUUGGCUGAAAUGCUCGCUAGCACAGUGGCCAAUUAUUUGAGUGACAGGAAACCGCCUUUUUUGUUCGAGUGUCGAGAGACAAAAGGCAAAAGAAACAUUACACGAGGAACGAGUCUAUGGCCCGCGACCACCCGCUAUCGCGAACCAUAAGCGGGUUUCGUCGUUGCUUUCAAGCACCGAUGCGGUGCGACUAUCCAGGAUUGAUAAAGCCAGGAACCGAAAAAAAAGGAGGCCACCGCUGGAUGGUUGACCCCGCACAACCCAUGUGCUGUGGACCGUGAAUAAUACAUCAGAGC
Molecule: small RNA, 540 nt
Filed under: Histoplasma ohiense
Lineage: Eukaryota; Fungi; Ascomycota; Eurotiomycetes; Onygenales; Ajellomycetaceae
Description: hypothetical lncRNA
Source: RNAcentral